AGAUUGAACGCUGGCGGCAGGCCUAACACAUGCAAGUCGAGCGGCAGCACGGGUACUUGUACCUGGUGGCGAGCGGCGGACGGGUGAGUAAUGCCUAGGAAUCUGCCUGGUAGUGGGGGGAUAACGCUCGGAAACGGACGCUAAUACCGCAUACGUCCUACGGGAGAAAGCAGGGGACCUUCGGGCCUUGCGCUAUCAGAUGAGCCUAGGUCGGAUUAGCUAGUUGGUGAGGUAAUGGCUCACCAAGGCGACGAUCCGUAACUGGUCUGAGAGGAUGAUCAGUCACACUGGAACUGAGACACGGCCCAGACUCCUACGGGAGGCAGCAGUGGGGAAUAUUGGGCAAUGGGCGAAAGCCUGAUCCAGCCAUGCCGCGUGUGUGAAGAAGGUCUUCGGAUUGUAAAGCACUUUAAGUGGAGAAGGCAGUUACCUAAUACGUAUCUGUUUUGACGUUACCGACUAGAAUAAGCACCGGCUAACUCUGUG
RNAcentral lists this ribosomal RNA (486 nucleotides) under uncultured soil bacterium. RNAcentral describes it as "bacterial SSU rRNA". It matches the Rfam family "Bacterial small subunit ribosomal RNA", at positions 26 to 507 of the family's 1533-position model. The record is from RNAcentral.